CCUGCACAUUUGACGUUACCUACAGAAGAAGACACCGGCUAACUCCGUGCCAGCAGCCGCGGUAAUACGGAGGGUGCGAGCGUUAAUCGGAAUUACUGGGCGUAAAGACGCAUGCAGGCGGCCUGUUAAGUCAGAUGUGAAAGCCCGGGGCGUUAACCUCGGAAUUGCAUUUGAAACUGGCAGGCUAGAGUCUUGUAGAGGGGGGUAGGGAAUUUCAGGUGUAGCGGUGAAAUGCGUAGAGAUCUGAAGGAAUACCAGUGGCGAAGGCGGCCCCCUCGGACAAAGACUGACGCUCAGAUGCGAAAGCGUGGGGAGCAAACAGGAUUAGAUACCCUGGUAG
This 340-nucleotide ribosomal RNA is filed under the name uncultured bacterium. Its description in RNAcentral is "bacterial SSU rRNA". It matches the Rfam family "Bacterial small subunit ribosomal RNA", at positions 460 to 793 of the family's 1533-position model. The record is from RNAcentral.